RNAcentral lists this ribosomal RNA (425 nucleotides) under uncultured bacterium. Its description in RNAcentral is "bacterial SSU rRNA". It matches the Rfam family "Bacterial small subunit ribosomal RNA", at positions 355 to 772 of the family's 1533-position model. The record is from RNAcentral.
UGGGGAAUAUUGGACAAUGGGCGAAAGCCUGAUCCAGCGACGCCGCGUGGGUGAAGAAGGCCUGCGGGUUGUAAAGCCCUUUCGGUGGGGAAGAAAAGCCUCGUCUUAAUACGACGGGGUCUUGACGUAACCCAAGAAAGAAGCACCGGCUAACUACGUGCCAGCAGCCGCGGUAAUACGUAGGUGGCAAGCGUUUUCCGGAUUUAUUGGGUUUAAAGGGUGCGUAGGCGGUCUUUUAAGUCAGUGCUGAAAUACUCCAGCUUAACUGGAGGGGUGGCAUUGAUACUGGAAGACUUGAGUGUAGUCGAAGUAGGCGGAAUUGACGGUGUAGCGGUGAAAUGCUUAGAUAUCGUCAAGAACACCGAUAGUGAAGACAGCUUACUAGGCUACAACUGACGCUGAGGCACGAAAGUGUGGGGAUCAAA